This 207-nucleotide ribosomal RNA is filed under the name uncultured bacterium. RNAcentral's name for it is "partial 16S ribosomal RNA". It matches the Rfam family "Bacterial small subunit ribosomal RNA", at positions 568 to 774 of the family's 1533-position model. The record is from RNAcentral.
CACGUAGGCGGAUCGUUAAGUCGGGGGUGAAAUCCCGGGGCUCAACCCCGGAACUGCCUUCGAUACUGGCGAUCUUGAGUCCGGAAGAGGUGAGUGGAACUCCUAGUGUAGAGGUGGAAUUCGUAGAUAUUAGGAAGAACACCAGUGGCGAAGGCGGCUCACUGGUCCGGUACUGACGCUGAGGUGCGAAAGCGUGGGGAGCAAACA